This 171-nucleotide ribosomal RNA is filed under the name Dolichopteryx longipes (brownsnout spookfish). RNAcentral describes it as "partial small subunit ribosomal RNA". The record is from RNAcentral. Lineage: Eukaryota; Metazoa; Chordata; Actinopteri; Argentiniformes; Opisthoproctidae.
CACCGCGGUUAUACGAGAGACCCGAGUUGACACUCACCGGCGUAAAGAGUGGUUACGGUUCUUACUAAACUAAAGCCGAACACUUCCUAGGCUGUUAUACGCACCUGCAAGUACGAAGCCCUCUCACGAAAGUAGCUUUAAUUCCUCCCCGAACCCACGACAGCUAUGCCA